UGGAUGGCGAGAAGGUAAGACAGGUACUUCCUGGUCUAGGACAUGGGUAAGCUUUUUGAAAUUAAUUACAAUUCUCAAAUUCUAGAGCCAGCCUUUGUAAUUUGUGUUAGUCAACCUAUUUGUAUCGAGGAUUCAAACUAAGGGGUUUGAACUCGAUAUGGUUAUCUACAGAGAAAAUAGUUUCUAAUUAGAUUUUUGUACUUAUAAGAUUGUUUAUUCUAGAGACUUUAAAAAUAAACAAAAGCUCCCACUAUUUUCUCCUCCCACACUCCUCAAGUGGAGAAACAGAAAUAUAUAUGUGAUCUAUUUUUUUCAGUAGGUACUGCGGUCUCAUUAAUCUAUA
RNAcentral lists this long non-coding RNA (343 nucleotides) under Elaeis guineensis (African oil palm). Its description in RNAcentral is "long non-coding RNA (EGUI_LNC043855)". The record is from RNAcentral. Lineage: Eukaryota; Viridiplantae; Streptophyta; Magnoliopsida; Arecales; Arecaceae.